GCUGUUCCCAGAUCAGUUGAGGGUGGGAACAGUGCACUGGUAUAAAUUACAGAGAGUCACACUGAUCUGUCCUUUCCAUGACCAGAUCCUUCUGCAGCCAGAUCAACAAGGUCUACGGUGUUUCCUCUGUGGGAGACGCUGUGGAAACUUGACUGGUCUUGGAGCACUAAUGUCAUCAUGAAGGAGGCGGAGGUCAUGUAAAUCCUUGCUGCCAGGGGCGGGGUCAUCUGGCACAGCGCCAUUCAGAGGGGAAACUCAUUUGCAUGAGUCUCAAUCUUUGUUUUGUGCUGGUGUCCAGAUGUGCAGAGGCCUGCGCAGUCUG
Molecule: long non-coding RNA, 322 nt
Filed under: Sinocyclocheilus grahami
Lineage: Eukaryota; Metazoa; Chordata; Actinopteri; Cypriniformes; Cyprinidae
Description: lncRNA (ENSSGRG00000032283.1)
Source: RNAcentral